GAUGAACGCUGGCGGCGUGCCUAAUACAUGCAAGUCGAGCGAACGGACGAGAAGCUUGCUUCUCUGAUGUUAGCGGAAGGGGGGUGAAACACAUGUGGAAAACCUCCCUAUCUGUCUGAGAUAACUUCGGGACACCGGCGAUAAUACGGGAUAAUAUUUUCAUCCGAUGGGUUCAAGUGUGAAAGACGGUCUUGGUGUCAGUUGUAGAUGGAUCCGAGCUGCAUUAGCUAGUUGGUAAGGUCAAGGCUUACCAAGGCAACGAUGCAUAGCCGAACUGAGAGGGUGAUCGGCCACACGGGAACUUAGAGACGGUCCAGACGCCUAGGGGAGUCAGCAGGAGGGAAUCGUCCGCAAUGGGCGAAAGCCUGCAGGAGCAACGCCGCGUGAGUGAUUAAGGGCUUCGGAUCGUAGAACUGUGUUAUUAGGGAAGAACAGAUGUGGAAGUAACUGUGCACAUCUUGACGGUACUGAAUCAGAAAGCCACGGCUAACUACGUG
This 497-nucleotide ribosomal RNA is filed under the name uncultured bacterium. Its description in RNAcentral is "partial 16S ribosomal RNA". It matches the Rfam family "Bacterial small subunit ribosomal RNA", at positions 28 to 507 of the family's 1533-position model. The record is from RNAcentral.